GUCGUUAAGUCCGCUAACGAGCGCAACCCUCGCUGUGUGUUACAAGUGUCGACACGGAACUGCCGGUCAUAAACCGGAGGAAGAUGGGGAUGACGUCAAGUCAGCAUGGCCUUUAUAUCCUGGGCUACACACACGCUACAAUGGGAAGGGACAAUAGGUUGCGAAGCCGCGAGGCGGAGCCAAUCCAGCAAAACUUCCCUCAGUUCAGAUUGCAGGCUGCAACUCGCCUGCAUGAAGUUGGAGUUGCUAGUAAACGCAGGUCAGCCAUACUGCGUUGAAUACGUUCCCGGGGCUU
Molecule: ribosomal RNA, 295 nt
Filed under: uncultured Anaerolineaceae bacterium
Lineage: Bacteria; Bacillati; Chloroflexota; Anaerolineae; Anaerolineales; Anaerolineaceae
Description: partial 16S ribosomal RNA
Rfam family: Bacterial small subunit ribosomal RNA
Source: RNAcentral